This 434-nucleotide ribosomal RNA is filed under the name uncultured bacterium. Its description in RNAcentral is "partial 16S ribosomal RNA". It matches the Rfam family "Bacterial small subunit ribosomal RNA", at positions 29 to 507 of the family's 1533-position model. The record is from RNAcentral.
AGCGAACGCUGGCGGCAGGCCUAACACAUGCAAGUCGAACGAACCUUUCGGGGUUAGUGGCGGACGGGUGAGUAACACGUGGGAACGUGCCUUUAGGUUCGGAAUAACUCAGUGAAACUUGUGCUAAUACCGAAUGUGCCCUUCGGGGGAAAGAUUAAUCGCCUUUAGAGCGGCCCGCGUCUGAUUAGCUAGUUGGUUGAGGUAAUGGCUCACCAAGGCGACGAUCAGUAGCUGGUCUGAGAGGAUGAUCAGCCACAUUGGGACUGAGACACGGCCCAAACUCCUACGGGAAGCAGCAGUGGGGAAUCUUGCGCAAUGGGCGAAAGCCUGACGCAGCCAUGCCGCGUGAAUGAUGAAGGUCUUAGGAUUGUAAAAUUCUUUCACCGGGGACGAUAAUGACGGUACCCGGAGAAGAAGCCCCGGCUAACUUCGUG